AGGACGAACGCUGGCGGCGUGCUUAACACAUGCAAGUCGAGCGGUAAGGCCUUUCGGGGUACACGAGCGGCGAACGGGUGAGUAACACGUGGGCGAUCUGCCCUGCACUUCGGGAUAAGCCUGGGAAACUGGGUCUAAUACCGGAUAUGACCUCCUAUCGCAUGGUGGGUGGUGGAAAGAUUUAUCGGUGCAGGAUCGGGCCCGCGGCCUAUCAGUCUUGGUUGGUGGGGUAAUCGGACCUACCGAGGCGACGGACGGGUAGCCGACCGUGAGAGGGUGACCGGCCACACGUGGGACUGGACGACGACCGGCCCAGACUCCGUACGGGAGGCAG
RNAcentral lists this ribosomal RNA (334 nucleotides) under uncultured soil bacterium. RNAcentral describes it as "bacterial SSU rRNA". It matches the Rfam family "Bacterial small subunit ribosomal RNA", at positions 26 to 351 of the family's 1533-position model. The record is from RNAcentral.